AGUGAACGUUGGCGGUAGGCCUAACACAUGCAAGUCGAACGGCAGCACAGUAAGAGCUUGCUCUUACGGGUGGCGAGUGGCGGACGGGUGAGGAAUACAUCGGAAUCUACUUUUUCGUGGGGGAUAACGUAGGGAAACUUACGCUAAUACCGCAUACGACCUACGGGUGAAAGCAGGGGAUCUUCGGACCUUGCGCGAUUGAAUGAGCCGAUGUCGGAUUAGCUAGUUGGCGGGGUAAAGGCCCACCAAGGCGACGAUCCGUAGCUGGUCUGAGAGGAUGAUCAGCCACACUGGAACUGAGACACGGUCCAGACUCCUACGGGAGGCAGCAGUGGGGAAUAUUGGACAAUGGGCGCAAGCCUGAUCCAGCCAUACCGCGUGUGUGAAGAAGGCCUUCGGGUUGUAAAGCCCUUUUGUUGGGAAAGAAAAGCAGCAGGUUAAUACCCCGCUGUUCUGACGGUACCCAAAGAAUAAGCACCGGCUAACUUCGUG
This 492-nucleotide ribosomal RNA is filed under the name uncultured bacterium. RNAcentral's name for it is "partial 16S ribosomal RNA". It matches the Rfam family "Bacterial small subunit ribosomal RNA", at positions 29 to 507 of the family's 1533-position model. The record is from RNAcentral.